This 253-nucleotide ribosomal RNA is filed under the name uncultured bacterium. RNAcentral's name for it is "partial 16S ribosomal RNA". It matches the Rfam family "Bacterial small subunit ribosomal RNA", at positions 524 to 777 of the family's 1533-position model. The record is from RNAcentral.
GACAGAGGUGCCAAGCGUUAGGCGGAAUCACUGGGCUUAAAGCGUGUGUAGGCGGAAGCGUAAGUGCCUUGUGAAAUCCCACGGCUUAACCGUGGAACUGCUGGGCAUACUGCGUUUCUUGAGCCAGUCAGGGGUCGUCGGAACAAACGGUGGAGCGGUGAAAUGCGUAGAUAUCGUUUGGAACGCAAAGGCGAAAGCAGACGACUGGGACUGAGCUGACGCUGAGACACGAAAGCCAGGGGAGCAAAGCGGG